ACGGAGGAUGCGAGCGUUAUCCGGAUUCAUUGGGUUUAAAGGGUGCGCAGGCGGCGCGAUAAGUCAGGGGUGAAAUUUUGCCGCUUAACGGCAGGUGUGCCAUUGAUACUGUUAUGCUAGAGUACGGUAGAGGCAGGUGGAAUGUGCAGUGUAGCGGUGAAAUGCGCAGAUAUUGGGAAGAACACCGGUUGCGGAGGCAAUUUACUAGGCCACUACUGACGCUGAGGCACGAAAGCGUGGGAAGCAAAUGG
RNAcentral lists this ribosomal RNA (251 nucleotides) under uncultured prokaryote. RNAcentral describes it as "partial 16S rRNA". It matches the Rfam family "Bacterial small subunit ribosomal RNA", at positions 525 to 775 of the family's 1533-position model. The record is from RNAcentral.